CACAGCCGUCGCCGUAUCAGUGGUCUGGUAAUUUCGCGCUUCCUUUUUCUUGUUGUGGAUGAGUUGACGCCAAUCCGGUUUUGAGUUUCCGCGUGCUUCUUCCUCGCUUCCGCCGUAUUCAUUCUUUGUCAUCUGUCUUGUGUGUUUGUUUGAGUGUUGAGCCCCUUCCUCCGGCCCCUUCUCCCUCACUGCCUCCCAACAUCACCGCCACCACUAUCUCUUCCCUCUUCUCCACGCCGUUGUAGACACACACACACGCAUACAUAUAUAUAUGUGUGUGUGUGUGUACGUAUAUGCACGCACAGUCGAACGUGCUCGCCUCCACAUAGAUGCAUGCACGACCACUCACGCAUACGUCUUUUGAGCGUCUUGGUAUCGCCCUCCUCCUCCUCCUCUGCAACACGCCGUUGUCCCUCUAAACUUGCAGGCACCCUCUUCUCUCAUCUGUGAACUCGCUUCUCCAUCCAUUGUCCCUCACCCCCUCCCUCCUCCGCCCAAGCGCUGCGUGAUCCGCCACGACUCUCACUCCGUAGCCUCUCCCUGCCCGUCGCUCGGUGCACACGACCGGGUCUGCGACUUCGCUUUUACGUCUUCCUUCUUUUCUUUCGCCUUUGCCUCCUCCCUCCUCCUCCUCCUCCCCCUCCCCAUCCUCACACACACAUCGCAGCUCAGUGUGGGCGGUCCUCAUCUCGUGUGCGGAACGCUCUUCCCUCCAGCGCUUCCUGGGAGGUGGGAGUCACCACCGCAUUCCACUGGGCGUUUGCGUGCGGUUGUGUCCGUGCGCCCGCAGCAACAGGAGCCGGCUGUCGCAAGUGUGCAUCGGCCACCACUAUAAGCCAGUCGCAUCCGCAGGAUAUCGCUCCCUCGCCUUCGGAGUGGGCACACACAAGCACACACAUCAGCACCCGCACACUCACAAGCACAGACGCACUGCUGGGCCGCCUCUUUUAAGGUGGAGGCAGAGGGGCCACAGACACGGGACAGUCAAGCCGUCCGUGAAACAGCACAGGCCAUGAACCAGGGAUACAACACCUACUACAGCCAAGGCACCCCGCAAGGGGGCGCGUAUGGCAGCAGUGCAAACUACUACGGCGGUGCGGCUGCGGCACCUGCCGGAGGUGUCGGCAGCGGGUACGGUGCACAGGCUCAGCCUCAGCAGCCACAGGCACAGCAAGUUGGAGCCUACGGUGUCGCACAGGCGACGUCGGCCGGUUCGUGGAGUAACACCUAUCAGGGCCUCGGCGAGUACCAUAGUGGCGUUGCCACCGCUGCACCGACGUCGUCGCCGUCGCAAGGCUACUACGGAGGCGGCGCAGCGACCACAACCGCCAGCAGCUUCCAAGUCGGAUACGAUGGCUACGCGCAAGGGGCCACAGCGGCCGCCACAAACAACGGUGGCGUUGCCGCUGGUGUUAGCAACGGAAGCUACGCUGGUGUGACAGCCAUGAACGCGUACGACCCUCAGUCAACGCAGCCAGCGCAACAGCCCUACUACCCACCGCAGCCGCCUCAAGGCGGAUACUACGGCAAUGCCAAUGCGUGCCAGGCGAACAGCACACCAGCGGCUGCUGCGGCACCGGCGCCCGCGGUCCUCAACACCACCGACGACAACGGUCUGCGGUGGACCUGGUCGUGCUACCCGACGACAUCGAAGGCGAAGACGAAGGAAAACCCCUCCGCGGCGACGCUGGCAAUGCCAGAGAUGGUGAUCCCGAUGAGCUGCAUGUACACGCCGCUGCACCUCAUUGAGCCCAGUCACCUCGUUCUGGGCGCAGCCAUUGACGAGCUGUGCUGUGCAAACUGCGGCGCCUUUUGCAGCAUGCACAGCCAGCGCGAGAUGGGCAAGUACUGGGUGUGCGUAUCCUGCAAGCGCCGCAACUCUUUCCAGAGCAACACCGCCAUCACGGAGCAGCACCCGGCGCUGAUGUACGAGACGGUCGAGUUUGUGCUCGCAAACCCGCCGACGCCCGUGGUGGCGCCACCUCAGCCGCAGCCAGCGCCUGCCUUCAUCUUCGUCGUCGACACGUGCAUCCCUUCCGGCGAGAUGGCGUCGUUGCGCACGAGCCUGCUGGAGUCCCUGCAGUAUCUGCCGCGCAACGCCCUCGUAGGCCUCAUCUCCUUCGGCGCCACCGUCUCUGUGUGGGAGCUGGGCGCCAGCUCUGGCGUGGCGAUCAGCAAGUGCUACCUUCUGCGCGGCAACACGGCGAACCCGCCCGAUUCGCUGCAGAGCAUGCUUCAGGUCUCGGAAAAUCAUCCCGUGCGGGGGCGGCUGCUGGCGCCGCUGUGCGAUGUGGAGGCGGCGCUCACCUCGUUGAUCGAGGAGCUCGAGGAGGACGGCGCCGCCGUGCCGUCAUCCAAGCGGCCGCUGCGGGCCACGUCGACGGCGGUGGAGGCGGCCACGUACCUGAUGGAGGCCCUCGCGCCACCACAGAUGACAGCGCAGCAGCAGUACGUACUAUACGGAAAGCACGUAAAAGCCGCUACAGCGCCCGGGGGUAAUGUGAAGAUGGGUAAGAUUCUCCUCUUCACCGGCGGCCCGUGCACGCGCGGCCCCGGCGCCGUCGUCAGCACCGACAAGGCGGACAUGAUGCGCUUCCAUCGCGACAUCAUUGAGGGCGAUACACCCUACUACGAGGCAGCCUUUAACUUCUACAACGCGCUCGAGCCGCGGAUGAUAGCCGCGAACACGUGCCUCGACGUCUUCGCUCAGUCCCUUGACCAAGUUGGUGUCAUGGAGAUGCGCCGCUGCAUCGACAACACCGGUGGCACGCUCAUCGUCGAAGAUGAGACGACUGACAUCAUGUUUCUGGAGUCGCUGAAGCGUUACUGGCAGCGCUGCGAUUUGCGGGCCGGCACAGAGCGCGCCUUGGCGGCAGCGCAGGAAGGCAUGUCCUCUUCGGGUGUCGACGGCAGCUACAGCAGUGAGGACCACAGAGCUCACUGCGGAUUCGCUGUGCACAUGGAGGUGAACACGUCCGUCGGCACGCUGCUGCGCGGUGCGCUCGGUCCGUGCAACGUGGACGUGGAGGCGAACAAGCGCGGGCCUACGCGGCUCACCUCACCACUGGAGGUGGGCGCUGGUGGCACGACGCGCUGGUGCGUCAGCUACCUCGACAAGGGAAUGACGCUUUCAUUCCUGUUUGACACAGCCACCGCCAGCAGCCAGCAGAGUGGCGCAGAGAGCGCGCAUGAGAAGCGCUUCAUCCAGUUCGUCACGCGCUACACCACGCCGCGCGGCGAGCAGCGGGUGCGCGUGACGAGCGUCGUGCAGCCCGUCGCCCCGCCGACAGCGCCGCCGGACUACUACACGAAGGCUGCCGCCUUUGAUCAGACGUGUGCGGCGACGAUCGUGGCGCGCAUGGCGGUGAGCAUACUCGAGAAGCAUCCGGGCAAGUGGGAUGACGCCAAGCGAUGGCUGGACACGCUGCUGGUGCGCUUCGUGCGGCGCUACUCCACCUUCUCCCCUGGUCAACCGAACACGUUGCGCCUCGACCCGUGCCUCUCCCUCUUCCCAUCCUUCAUGUACAACCUGCGCCGCUCCGAGUACUUCAUGGUGCUCAACAUCUCGCCUGAUGAGACGACGUUCAAGCGCCACUGGCUGCUGCGCGAAUCCGUCGACAAUUGCGUGCUCAUGAUCCAGCCCACGCUGGACUCGUACGACUUGGCGAGCCCGUUCGCGACGCCCAUGCAGCUCGACAGCAGCAGCCUGCGUCACGACAACAUUGUGCUGAUGGAUGCCUACUUUAACGUCCAUAUCAUGUGGGGCAGCAUCAUCUACCAGUGGAUCGAGGCAGCCUACCACGAGAACCCCGAGUACGCCAACUUUGCCGAGCUGCUGGAGGCGGCGGAGCGUGACGCGCAGAUGAUCUUGUCGAGCCGCUACCCGUACCCGCGCUUCUCGCGCACGGACGCCGACGGCUCCGAGGCGCGCCACGUAAAGACGCGCGUGAACCCGGCCACCAACUACCACAACUCGGGCAUGCAGUACGGCGCCGGCCCCAACGGGGCGGUGGAGCAGGCCGACGUCAUCUACACAGAUGAUGCCUCUAUCAUGACGUUCAUGACCUCGCUCAAGAAGGCAGUAGUGACCUCCGACGGCAAGGAGGAAGCGUAGCGCGCAGCUGCUGCCAUGUCGCGCCACCUUUAUUUUCGCUCUCUCUUCGUCGAUGACGCAUGGCACCGUCGAUCUUGCCGUGCGCCAUAUGUGUCCCCCCCUCCUCAUCGCAUCUUGGUCUCUCUCGCCCCUCCAGCUGUUUCUCUCUCCCUCCAUGGCAUUCAGCUCAUGACCCUGACAGGGCUGCCGAGAGGUGUAUCCUUGUGUGAGCGUCGUCGGCGCCGGUCACGUGCUCGCCUGCUUUUCUUUUCGUUUGUGUUGUUCUCAUUUCUGUUGCUCGCGUGUGUGCAUGUGAGUGUGUGUGUGUGUGUGAUCUUGUGUUGUCAUCUCCCUCAACGUCUUGUGAUUUCUUUUCGUUGUUUGUUGGCAUGUCUGUGCGCCGGGUGGCGGAGAUGGGGCGGUGUGUCUGUGUAUGUGAGAGGGGAGUAGAGGCUAUAUGGCCUCCCUUCGUUUUGGAUUGCCCAUGCUGUGUUAGUCGCGGGAGUGAAUGACUGUCUGUGUCACACCAUCCCCGUUGUAUGUGCGUGCGGGGGUGUGUUCUUUGAGCAUUUUCGUUUGUUUUCUAUUGUGUCUGCGCCCUCCUCCCUGACACCCGGUGGGCUGUGUUUUCGUGCAGCGGUGUGUGUGUGUGUGUGUGUGUGUGUGUGUGUGUGUGUGUGUGUGUGUGUGUGUGUGUCUGCGUCAGUGUGCUCCCCCGCCCCGUCCCUCCGCGCUUCCGAGUGGGAAGACGAGAGGGAAAGGGACCUCGAGUACGGUCUGAGACCGUCCCUCCACCCCUCUCACUCCCACCUACAACCGAACGGAACCCAAGAGGAAAUGCAGCGCAAGCCGCACGCACGCGCACUUUUCCUUGCGUGCGUGAGUGCUGGCGUGCGUGUGCCAAUCAAGCGCUUCACGAGUGGUGUGCCCAAUCGAUCUAUGCGCAAACGGCCACAUAAGGGUAUGUGUGUACAUGGAGGGACGCAAUAGUCAAGAUCAGAGUUGGCGUGUGCAUGCACCACCAUAAGGGCACGAUGCCUCGCCGCUGGAGCGCACGUGAGGGUGUGCGCGUGUGCGUGUGCGCGGCUGAGCAAUACGCCGGUAAAUAUCUGACAGACC
This 5212-nucleotide unclassified non-coding RNA is filed under the name Leishmania donovani. Its description in RNAcentral is "gene:LdHU3.10.0470(CDS-product:protein_transport_ protein_SEC23_putative)". Lineage: Eukaryota; Euglenozoa; Kinetoplastea; Trypanosomatida; Trypanosomatidae. The record is from RNAcentral.